GUAUCCAGGGACGGGCCAGCGCAGAGCCCUGCACGCCAUGCUCAUUCAGGUAUUUGUCCAGCUCAACCAUCCCCGUCCAGCGAUUCUCGCACCACAGCGGGGCAAGCAGCGUCGGACGGCGAGCGCUGGCUGAAAUUCGGUGAUAAAUUACCUCCGGCGGCGUAUGACGAAUCAUCUCACCUGCCGUUAGCGUGUAGUCGUCCAGUUCGAUGCCGUUCAGCCGCCCCGCUUCCCAGGCUUUGGCCAUCGUACUGCCUUUCACAAUAUGCAGCGGAUGCAGUUUAAUACCGUCAACGCCCGUCUCCACCACACGCUCCAUGGUUUGCAGGCAUUCUGCCUGCCCUUCGCCCGGCAGCCCCACAAUCAGAUGCGCGCACACUUUCAG
Molecule: unclassified non-coding RNA, 385 nt
Filed under: uncultured fungus
Lineage: Eukaryota; Fungi
Description: partial internal transcribed spacer 1
Source: RNAcentral